CUCAAUAACUUGACAAAGGCAAAGUUAUUUUGUAAGAAAAGAAAUAGGCUUAAUUUUCGAAAACAAAAAACGAAAUGAUGAUCAAACGUGCCUUAAUGACAUUAAAUCAAACAUUCCUCCAAAACCCAUUACUCUCUUCUGAUUUGUCUGGAAUUAACAGGAUGGGAAAUCUUGGCAAGCACAUUAAAAGGGAAAUUGUCUUUUCCUCUCUCUUUUCUCUCUCUCUCUGACUUUCAUUUUCCCACAUCAAAUCACCCCCGCUUAAUAUUUUUUCUCCUGGCUUUAUUGAGUUGCAGGCAAAUUUAGAUGGAGAAGGACAAUGGUAGCCACAAGAUGAAUGUAAAAUGAAGAAAUUGAGGAAAGUUGCAGCAGAAGAAGCCAAAAUGGAAGGGGACCCAAGUUGGUUUUUUUCUCUUUAAGCAGUUGGUAGUUAAAAAGUGUGGGUCGGUCUGAUUCUUUGUUUGUUUUUGUGUUGUCCAUUUGUGAGAGUUGCUUUGGAAUGGUCGGUGUUGAGCUUGA
Long non-coding RNA from Cucumis melo (muskmelon), 519 nucleotides. RefSeq lists it as uncharacterized. Lineage: Eukaryota; Viridiplantae; Streptophyta; Magnoliopsida; Cucurbitales; Cucurbitaceae. The record is from RefSeq and is a predicted model, not a curated record. The transcript is spliced from 2 exons.